CGCGUGCAUUCGCUCUUUUCGAAAGAAGGGAGAGGAAAGUCCGGACACCAUAGAGCAGGAUUCCUUGUGAAAACGAGGGAUGUCAGCGUCAAGGCUGGCAGACAGACAGUGUCACAGAAAAUAAACCGCCGCUUUUUGCGGUCAGGGUGAAAAGGUGAGGUAAGAGCUCACCGCUUCUCUCGGCAACGAGAAAGGCACGAAAAACCUAAUCCGGUGCAAGACAAAAUAGGAAACCUCAGGGCGGCUCGCCCCAUUACGGUUUCGGGUUUGUCGCACUCUGCUUCGGCGGAGAAGGUCCUCAGGGCCUUAGAUAAAUGAAUGCAGGGCAUGUUAUGUGCCUACAGAAUCCGGCUUACAGCAAAAAAAGCCCG
Molecule: RNase P RNA, 371 nt
Filed under: Verrucomicrobia bacterium GWF2_51_19
Lineage: Bacteria; Pseudomonadati; Verrucomicrobiota
Description: RNase P RNA component class A
Rfam family: Bacterial RNase P class A
About the family: Ribonuclease P (RNase P) is a ubiquitous endoribonuclease, found in archaea, bacteria and eukarya as well as chloroplasts and mitochondria. Its best characterised activity is the generation of mature 5'-ends of tRNAs by cleaving the 5'-leader elements of precursor-tRNAs. Cellular RNase Ps are ribonucleoproteins.
Source: RNAcentral